Armigeres subalbatus is the source of this 799-nucleotide long non-coding RNA. RefSeq lists it as uncharacterized. The transcript is spliced from 4 exons. The record is from RefSeq and is a predicted model, not a curated record. Lineage: Eukaryota; Metazoa; Arthropoda; Insecta; Diptera; Culicidae.
CUUUACUUUGACAUUGACACCGGGACAGAGAGGGAGUGCUUUUAUCAAGAUCGAAUCUCUACAACACCUAGCUGUGUAUUCAUCUUGCAUGAAAAUAGUAAAUCUGUCAAAUCAAGAAAACAAAGCAGCACAUACCGCGCUAUUUUCUGAUCUGAAAACGUCAACAGCUAAGUAAGAGAAUCAGGAUUGUUUUUCCGACCGUCCCUGGCAAUAAUUAAAAAUUAGCUACGGUCCGAGUGCAAGGCCACAGCAUGCCAAAGUGAAAUUUGCCAAAAAGUGCCUUUAUUACUGCGUCAUCUAACUGUGCAACGAAAAAGGUGCUCCUGGUCCUGCAUUGUCUGACCGAAUGUUUGCCGAUAAGACUGCAAUUAUGCCAUCGCGUGAAAUCACUUGUCCAGUAGUUGACCGAACUGAAGUUUCAAGCACAAGUAUUUCGAUCAUGGAAACCUUAUGUCGCGGCUGUGUUCAAGUAAUGAAUUUUUGUUAUCAGGGACCCAUACUCUACUCUGCGUUUCUAAUAAAACCGUUGUCCGGAAGUUUCGAUAAGGCGCAGAACUGCAGCUUGCGUCAAAGAUGGACUAUCAAUGAGGAAACCAGUUUUUUCAUGGCUUCUCACCGAGGUUUGCAACAUGUCUGCUAGCCCGGAAAUUAAGCGACUAUUCCUACGCAGUAGAUAAAUUAUGGGCUCAUCGAAUACACACAUUCCAAACCGUGGAUUGAAUUUCUUGUUACUGUCCACUGGUAGCUCAGCAUACCACACAAGUAAGUGCUAUAUUUUACUACUGUUGCAUGUGCGUUU